AGACCCGAAACCCGGUGAUCUAGCCAUGGGCAGGUUGAAGGUUGGGUAACACUAACUGGAGGACCGAACCGACUAAUGUUGAAAAAUUAGCGGAUGACCUGUGGCUGGGGGUGAAAGGCCAAUCAAACCGGGAGAUAGCUGGUUCUCCCCGAAAGCUAUUUAGGUAGCGCCUCGUGAAUUCAUCUCCGGGGGUAGAGCACUGUUUCGGCUAGGGGGCCAUCCCGGCUUACCAACCCGAUGCAAACUGCGAAUACCGGAGAAUGUUAUCACGGGAGACACACGGCGGGUGCUAACGUCCGUCGUGAAGAGGGAAACAACCCAGACCGCCAGCUAAGGUCCCAAAGUCAUGGUUAAGUGGGAAACGAUGUGGGAAGGCCCAGACAGCCAGGAUGUUGGCUUAGAAGCAGCCAUCAUUUAAAGAAAGCGUAAUAGCUCACUGGUCGAGUCGGCCUGCGCGGAAGAUGUAACGGGGCUAAACCAUGCACCGAAGCUGCGGCAGCGACACUA
Molecule: ribosomal RNA, 507 nt
Filed under: Salmonella enterica
Lineage: Bacteria; Pseudomonadati; Pseudomonadota; Gammaproteobacteria; Enterobacterales; Enterobacteriaceae
Also listed under: 1 other name
Description: partial 23S ribosomal RNA
Rfam family: Bacterial large subunit ribosomal RNA
Source: RNAcentral